This 274-nucleotide ribosomal RNA is filed under the name uncultured bacterium. Its description in RNAcentral is "partial 16S ribosomal RNA". It matches the Rfam family "Bacterial small subunit ribosomal RNA", at positions 523 to 796 of the family's 1533-position model. The record is from RNAcentral.
AUACGAACGGCCCGAGCGUUAAGCGGAAUCACUGGGCUUAAAGGGUGCGUAGGCGGAAUGGUAAGUGUCUUGUGAAAUCCCACGGCUCAACCGUGGAACUGCAGGGCAUACUGUCAUUCUUGAGACUGGUAGAGGUUGUCGGAACCAUAGGUGUAGCGGUGAAAUGCGUAGAUAUCUAUGGGAACACCAAAGGUGAAGACAGGCAACUGGGCCAGUUCUGACGCUGAGGCACGAAAGCGUGGGGAGCAAACAGGAUUAGAAACCCCGGUAGUCC